UUUCCGUAGGUGAGCCUGCGGAAGGAUCAUUACUGAGUGAGGGCCCCUCGGGGUCCAACCUCCCACCCGUGUUUAACGAACCUUGUUGCUUCGACGGGCCCGCCUCACGGCCGCCGGGGGGCAUCUGCCCCCGGGCCCGCGCCCGCCGAAGCCACCUGUGAACGCUGUCUGAAGUAUGCAGUCUGAGACAAUUAUUAAAUUAAUUAAAACUUUCAACAACGGAUCUCUUGGUUCCG
RNAcentral lists this unclassified non-coding RNA (236 nucleotides) under plant metagenome. RNAcentral describes it as "partial contains small subunit ribosomal RNA, internal transcribed spacer 1, and 5.8S ribosomal RNA". The record is from RNAcentral.